RNAcentral lists this ribosomal RNA (529 nucleotides) under uncultured bacterium. RNAcentral's name for it is "bacterial LSU rRNA". It matches the Rfam family "Bacterial large subunit ribosomal RNA", at positions 1483 to 2001 of the family's 2925-position model. The record is from RNAcentral.
UAGGUCAGCCAACUGUUGGAAUAGUUGGUUUAAGCGUGUAGGCGUGCUCUAUAGGCAAAUCCGUAGAGCUUAGCUGAGGCGUGAUGACGAGGUGCCACGUGCACUGAAGUGAUUGAUCCCAUGCUUCCAGGAAAAGCCUCUAAGCUUCAGUUCCAAAUUGACCGUACUGCAAACCGACACAGGUGGGUAGGGUGAGAAUCCUAAGGCGCUUGAGAGAACUCAGGAGAAGGAACUCGGCAAAUUGACACCGUAACUUCGGGAGAAGGUGUGCCCUUGUAGGGGUGAAGUCCCUUGCGGAUGGAGCUCGAAAGGGUUGCAGUGAAAAGGUGGCUGCGACUGUUUAUUAAAAACACAGCACUCUGCAAACACGAAAGUGGACGUAUAGGGUGUGACGCCUGCCCGGUGCUGGAAGAUUAAAUGAUGGGGUGCAAGCUCUUGACUGAAGUCCCAGUAAACGGCGGCCGUAACAAUAACGGUCCUAAGGUAGCGAAAUUCCUUGUCGGGUAAGUUCCGACCCGCACGAAUGGCU